AAAAUACGGGAGGCAGCAGUGGGGAAUAUUGGACAAUGGAGGUAACUCUGAUCCAGCAAUUCUGUGUGCAUGAAGAAGGUUUUCGGAUUGUAAAGUGCUUUCAGCAGGGAAGAAGAAAGUGACGGUACCUGCAGAAGAAGCGACGGCUAAAUACGUGCCAGCAGCCGCGGUAAUUUU
This 177-nucleotide ribosomal RNA is filed under the name uncultured bacterium. RNAcentral describes it as "partial 16S ribosomal RNA". It matches the Rfam family "Bacterial small subunit ribosomal RNA", at positions 333 to 527 of the family's 1533-position model. The record is from RNAcentral.